This is a long non-coding RNA of Lepisosteus oculatus (spotted gar), 1038 nucleotides long. RefSeq lists it as uncharacterized. The record is from RefSeq and is a predicted model, not a curated record. Lineage: Eukaryota; Metazoa; Chordata; Actinopteri; Semionotiformes; Lepisosteidae.
ACAAAGCCCGGAGAAAGGAGAAGUUAGGACAGACCCCACAGAGCAGUCAUUAAUCAGUGCAGGCAGGGUGACAGGAGGGGGGGAGGGCUGUGCUCUGAGUGUGGGGGGCUCAUGACAUCAAGGUGGUUCACGGAGGCGCCCCCCUGGCUGUGGAGCACCUGCUCGGCCGGCGGCGUGUGCCACAUUACCAUCACAACGGCACAGCGCCUGCCCGCGCGGCUAAUUCAUCACCAGCGGAGACGCCCUCAGAGAGGCGCUGAGGCGCGUGGCAACGCCGAUCACAGAACCUGCACCGCAGCCAGAUCGGGGAGGGGAGGACCCGCCCCCUGGAGGGCCGGGGGCCCGCUGGCUUGUCUUACCACCAGAGAGUUCCAACAGGAUACAUACUGGGGCUUGACAGACUGUCCUUCACUGACAGGCUGAAGGAACACCAUCUCAGUCUUGAACAGCAGUGAAGUCAGCUCUACCGUCUGGACACCCUGUUCCAUCCCUCUUGUUCAGACAUCUGCCGGAGCCCAGCCAGCAUGGGUCACUGUCUCCAUCACAUGUUGGGUCAAAGGUCACCCCCCAGAAGACAGCACAACUUGCUCCUUUCAACUCAAAGUGCAAGAUAAGAGGCUCCACGCCGACCCUCCCCAUCCUCUACAAAUGGCUUAUCAGUACCAUGACGGAAGGCAACGAGGUACUUUAUGGGAACACAGGCGGACUUUUACUCAAUUUUAAGAUGUUUUUUUAUGCCCCCUUUAAUUAGAAUUGCCAGUCAUUGAUUGGCUGCUAAGACCCUUGUGUCAGUAUUCUGGCUGAGCCACUUGUCAAUUCACAGUGGGUUUUUUUCUCUCCUGCAGGAUCCACUGUCCACUCGUACCACACUUAGCACUUUCUCCAUCUGUCCGUCCAUUUUAUAACCACCUGAUCCAAUUCAGGGUCGCGGAGGCGCUGGAGUCUACCCCAGCGAGCAACAGACGCAAGGCAGGAUACACCCUGGAUGGGACACCAGUCCAUCACAGGGCAGACACAGACACAAACACAGAUACACAC